Monodelphis domestica (gray short-tailed opossum) is the source of this 2587-nucleotide long non-coding RNA. The record is from Ensembl. NCBI's taxonomy places the organism in Eukaryota, Metazoa, Chordata, Mammalia, Didelphimorphia, Didelphidae.
AUGACAACCCCUGAACAAUCCUGUCAACAAAUAUGUCUUUUUCCUUCUCAAAGACAGACAACCUUCAUCCCAGAUUCCCCUAGCAGCAUAUGGAUCUCUCUUCUUUUGGUUUAUCAAGGACGAUUGGAUAAACUGGCUUGUUUGGACUGGGGUUCUUAUCUCCAUGGAGGCCUCAAUAAUAAUACUUAUGAAAAUAGAUGUAGACUUUUUUGUCCUUUUUAUGCUGCUGUAGUUUUCAGUGAAUAUCAGCAAUAUAAACAAUAUUACCUUUUAUUUGCCUGUUCUAAGGAUCAUUUUAGGCUUGUAUCAGUGGUGGUUCCUUCCACAAUGAUUCAGGUAACUGGGCCUUGUCUAGUAAACAGGGUGGCAUAAUGAGAAUGGCCAGAUGGUCCUGGGGAAGUUAUUGAGGAUGAUGCAUGUCUUUACCCUGAGGCAUAAAAAUGCUCAAUUUGGGAGGGAAUGGAGGAGGGUUCACAAGGGCAAAGCUAACAGAGAUGAAGUUAGUGGGAACCCUGGGGAAAGAAAAAAAGGCUAGGAGGCUUGGGACUUGACCUGGAGGAACCCAUGGAAGAAAAUGUGGACUAUGACAAAAGGAAGAUCAUGAUACCUUUUUGCUUCAUCCCUUCUCCUGUGAACCUUAAAAAUUCUUAAACCCUACUUCAUAAGGUUGGGUUAAGACCAUUCCCCACUUUAAACAAUGAUGGAACUUAGAUCAGGAAUGUGGAGACCUCUACUAAACCCCUACUUAAGCAUACUUUAGGGGAAGAUAAAGUUGUAAACUCUUUGCUGAACAAUGAAAAGUAUUUAAACCCAACUUAUAAUAAGGCAAAAAGUUCUUAAGCUGUGCCUAUUUUUAGAACUAAUACAAAAAGGUGCUAAGUACCUAUAAAGGUCAGGCAACUUGUGAACUUACAAGGAGCAAAGAGGUGAGAACUUACUCAGAGAUUCUAGUCUACUCAGGUGUGAAUUACUCAAAAGUUUAGACUUCUUAGGUGUAAAUUAAGAAUGGUCUGUCCUUUGAAAAAUGUCUACUGUGAUUGGUAGAUGUAAGAAUUUAGGGGAGGUGACAUAAGAGAAAAUUCCCUUUAAAUAGGAGCUCAGAUAGAUCUGAAAGAACACUCUGAUUCACAUUCAGAUUCACAUUCAGAUUCAGGAUUGAGCUGGUGGAGUCAGCUGUGAUGAAGCUGGCCUGGUGUCACUAGAAUCCUUGCUUGGACAGAUCUUGUGGUGAGUGAUUAAGGACUGACUGAUCUUUCUUUUAGGGCUUAGGCCUAAGUUGGUCAGGGCUGCUGCCCUGGGCCAGUCUAUCCUUUUCUCUAUUCUUUUUUUUUCUCUCUUUCUCUCCUUUUCUUUAAUUCCACAUUUUUAUUAAUUAAAAUAUCUAUAAAACCCAGUUGACUUGGGUAUAUUUCAUAAUUGGGAAUCUUUCCCUGGCGACCACCUUAUAUUUGAUUUAAAACAAGACACUGUCUUGAAAACAUAUCUUCCACAGCCACAAUUUAAGACAUCCACUCUUUUAUCUACUACAAUUUAAGUCUUCCACUAUUUUAAUUAUUACACUCCCUCUCUUCAUCCUUUCUAUUUCCCUCUACCCUCCUUAUUGCUUCUUAUUGCUCAUUUUUCUUCUUCCUUCUUUCUGUCUAGAGUUAGAACUAGCACACCAAGUUAUACCAGGACAACUAUAAGGAGAGUGCCCCUCAUUUCCUUCAUCCUCUCCCUGGGUUGGAGGGAACAGUGCUGCUUCCCAUUUCCUGUCCUUUGUCCUUUUUAGUACAAGCUGGUCCACAACCUCACCAUCCCUCCAAACCAUAAUACUUCAUGAUAGUCAGACUCCUCUCCUAGGAAAGUUUCCCAAAGUGAACAGAAGGCUGCACUUUUCUCCCCUUUACUUCAAGCAAACUACUAACCUCAGGAUUCAUGCCCAAAGACAGCCCAUUACUACUUCUUUGCACCCAUGUUUUCUCAUACAAGGGACAUUCUAGAAUGUCAGGAUUCAUGCUAUUGUCUUCAAUCUACCUCAGCAAUAGAGCCUGGAGUGGCUGUGCCCUAAAGCCCACCUUCAAGCAACAUAUGCCUUAUGUCCCCACCCCUUCCACCCCCAGUGACUUAGCCUCAGUUGCUAGAACUCUUUGUUGGGAUUCUAUUUCCUCUCUGCUGCUCCUUUCAGCCUUCCCAGAAAAUAUUCCUCCAGUGGCCUUGUCAGAACCAAGAUGUCUGGACAGAUCUUGGGAUGUAUCCUAAGUAAAUUAGUUCUCAUGUUUUUCCACAGGGAGAGUCUGUUUUUCCUUUAACCAUGGGUACAAUGAGACCAGCAUUGACAUGGAGCACCAAAUAUCCCUGGAGCCUGUUCUGAUGGAACCCUUCCUGCCUGAUCUAUUAGGAUCUACUGAGUCACAGACUUUAUUCUUUUUCACCUUUACUUAAUACUUGCAAUGAAGAGAGAGUGAGCACAAAGGAACUAGGUCUUUCAUUUAAUACCUGAGACUACAGAAUUAACAGAAGGUUCUUCAGGCUAUUACCCUUCUCUUUGUAAAUGAAUAUUACCCUUCUCUUUGUAAAUGAAUAAAAGUGUUGCUGUAUAAGUUCA